RNAcentral lists this ribosomal RNA (247 nucleotides) under uncultured Actinomycetes bacterium. RNAcentral describes it as "uncultured actinobacterium partial 16S ribosomal RNA". It matches the Rfam family "Bacterial small subunit ribosomal RNA", at positions 28 to 276 of the family's 1533-position model. Lineage: Bacteria; Bacillati; Actinomycetota; Actinomycetes. The record is from RNAcentral.
GACGAACGCUGGCGGCGUGCUUAACACAUGCAAGUCGAGCGGUAAGGCCCUUUCGGGGGUACACGAGCGGCGAACGGGUGAGUAACACGUGGGUGACCUGCCCUCAGCUCUGGGAUAAGCCUGGGAAACUGGGUCUAAUACCGGAUAUUCACUUCUCAUCGCAUGGUGGGUUGUGGAAAGUUUUUUCGGCUGGGGAUGGGCCCGCGGCCUAUCAGCUUGUUGGUGGGGUGAUGGCCUACCAAGGCGA